ACGGACCAAGGAGUCUAACACGCGCGCGAGUCAGAGGCUGCAGACGAAAGCCCCGUGGCGCAAUGAAGGUGAGGGCCGGCGCGCGCCGGCCUAGGUGGGAUCCCGAGGCUCCGAGCGGAGGGCGCACCACCGGCCCGUCUCGCCCGCGCCGUCGGGGAGGUGGAGCGUGAGCGCGUGUGCUAGGA
RNAcentral lists this ribosomal RNA (185 nucleotides) under Natrix maura (viperine water snake). RNAcentral's name for it is "partial ribosomal RNA". Lineage: Eukaryota; Metazoa; Chordata; Lepidosauria; Squamata; Natricidae. The record is from RNAcentral.